RNAcentral lists this ribosomal RNA (253 nucleotides) under uncultured bacterium. RNAcentral's name for it is "partial 16S ribosomal RNA". It matches the Rfam family "Bacterial small subunit ribosomal RNA", at positions 524 to 776 of the family's 1533-position model. The record is from RNAcentral.
UACGUAGGGGGCAAGCGUUGUUCGGAAUUACUGGGCGUAAAGCGCACGUAGGCGGCUUUGUAAGUUAGAGGUGAAAGCCUGGGGCUCAACUCCAGAACUGCCUUUAAAACUGCAUCGCUUGAAUCCAGGAGAGGUGAGUGGAAUUCCGAGUGUAGAGGUGAAAUUCGUAGAUAUUCGGAAGAACACCAGUGGCGAAGGCGGCUCACUGGACUGGUAUUGACGCUGAGGUGCGAAAGCGUGGGGAGCAAACAGG